This 191-nucleotide non-coding RNA is filed under the name uncultured Prevotella sp. The record is from RNAcentral. Lineage: Bacteria; Pseudomonadati; Bacteroidota; Bacteroidia; Bacteroidales; Prevotellaceae.
GUGAUUGGUUCGCCGUAAAGGCGAUUAAAAUGGGAAUCAGGUGAAAAUCCUGGACUGUCCCGCAGCUGUAAGUUGCCCUUCAUGGUGUAAACACGGCGUCACUGAGUUUUAAUGAUUGAGCGAAACAUUUGCUCACCUCUCGGGAAGACGUUUGCAUCGGCAACAAGUCAGAAGACCUGCCUCUCACUAUU